Molecule: ribosomal RNA, 468 nt
Filed under: uncultured bacterium
Lineage: Bacteria
Description: partial 16S ribosomal RNA
Rfam family: Bacterial small subunit ribosomal RNA
Source: RNAcentral
GACGAACGCUGGCGGCGUGCUUAACACAUGCAAGUCGAACGGAAAGGCCCUGCUUAUGUGGGGUGCUCGAGUGGCGAACGGGUGAGUAACACGUGAGUAACCUGCCCUUGACUUUGGGAUAACUUCAGGAAACUGGGGCUAAUACCGGAUAGGAGCUCCUGCUGCAUGGUGGGGGUUGGAAAGUUUCGGCGGUUGGGGAUGGACUCGCGGCUUAUCAGCUUGUUGGUGGGGUAGUGGCUGACCAAGGCUUUGACGGGUAGCCUGCCUGAGAGGGUGACCGGCCACAUUGGGACUGAGAUACGGCCCAGACUCCUCCGGGAGGCAGCGGUGGGGAAUAUUGCACAAUGGGCGGAAGCCUGAUGCAGCGACGCCGCGUGCGGGAUGACGGCCUUCGGGUUGUAAACCGCUUUCGCCUGUGACGAAGCGUGAGUGACGGUAAUGGGUAAAGAAGCACCGGCUAACUACGUG